UGGUCAAGUUAUUAAGGGUGCAGGGCGGAUGCCUUGGCACUAGGAGCCGAUGAAGGACGUGAUAAGCUGCGAUAAGCUUCGGGGAGUUGCACGUAAACUUUGAUCCGAAGAUUUCCGAAUGAGGAAACUCACUUAGAGUAAUGUCUAAGUAUCAUUAAGUGAAUACAUAGCUUAAUGAGGGGAACUCAGGGAACUGAAACAUCUAAGUACCUGAAGGAAGAGAAAGAAAUUCGAUUCCGUAAGUAGCGGCGAGCGAACGCGGAUUAGCCCAAACCAAUAAAGUUUUCUUUAUUGGGGUUGCGGACAUAUCAUAACGAAGAGGUAUCGUAAUUGAAGAGGUUUGGAAAGACCCACCACAGAAGGUAAUAGUCCUGUAUGUUAAACGAGAAGACUUUAGAUAUGAUCCAGAGUACCACGGGACACGUGAAACCCUGUGGGAAGCAGGAGGGACCACCCUCCAAGGCUAAAUACUACCUAGUGACCGAUAGCGUAUAGUACCGUGAGGGAAAGGUGAAAAGAACCCCGGGAGGGGAGUGAAAUAGAACCUGAAACCCUGCACUUACAAGCUGUGGAAGCACAUUUCUUGUGUGACCGCGUACUUUUUGUAGAACGGGCCAACGAGUUACGUUAAGUAGCAAGGUUAAGCACUUAAGGUGCGGAGCCGUAGCGAAAGCGAGUUUUAACUGAGCGGUCAGUUACUUGACGUAGACCCGAAACCGGGCGACCUACCCAUGAGCAGGAUGAAGCGAAAGUAAAAUUUCGGGGAGGUCCGAACCCACGAGCGUUGAAAAGCUCGGGGAUGACUUGUGGGUAGCGGU
This 818-nucleotide ribosomal RNA is filed under the name Clostridioides difficile. RNAcentral describes it as "bacterial LSU rRNA". It matches the Rfam family "Bacterial large subunit ribosomal RNA", at positions 1 to 822 of the family's 2925-position model. Lineage: Bacteria; Bacillati; Bacillota; Clostridia; Peptostreptococcales; Peptostreptococcaceae. The record is from RNAcentral.